AGAAUCAACGCUGGCGGCGUGCCUAACACAUGCAAGUCGAACGAGAAAGUGGAGCAAUCCAUAAGUAAAGUGGCGCACGGGUGAGUAACACGUGACUAACCUACCCUGGAGUGGGGAAUAACUGAGGGAAACCUUAGCUAAUACCGCAUAACACCUACGGGUCAAAGGAGCAAUUCGCUUUGGGAGGGGGUCGCGGCAGAUUAGCUAGUUGGCGGGGUAAUGGCCCACCAAGGCGAUGAUCUGUAU
Molecule: ribosomal RNA, 246 nt
Filed under: uncultured bacterium
Lineage: Bacteria
Description: partial small subunit ribosomal RNA
Rfam family: Bacterial small subunit ribosomal RNA
Source: RNAcentral